RNAcentral lists this ribosomal RNA (886 nucleotides) under uncultured bacterium. RNAcentral describes it as "bacterial SSU rRNA". It matches the Rfam family "Bacterial small subunit ribosomal RNA", at positions 9 to 873 of the family's 1533-position model. The record is from RNAcentral.
AGAGUUUGAUCCUGGCUCAGAAUCAACGCUGGCGGCGUGCCUAACACAUGCAAGUCGAACGCGAAAGUCCCGCAAGGGAUCAGUAGAGUGGCAAACGGGUGAGUAACACGUGGGUGACCUGCCUUCGAGUGGGGGAUAACGUCCCGAAAGGGACGCUAAUACCGCAUGACAUCCUGCUUUUGAACAGGUGGAGAUCAAAGCCGGGGAUCGCAAGACCUGGCGCUUGAAGAGGGGCCCGCGUCCGAUUAGCUAGUUGGUGGGGUAAUGGCUCACCAAGGCAACGAUCGGUAGCCGGCCUGAGAGGGCGGACGGCCACACUGGGACUGAGACACGGCCCAGACUCCUACGGGAGGCAGCAGUGGGGAAUUGUUCGCAAUGGGCGCAAGCCUGACGACGCAACGCCGCGUGGAGGAUGAAGACCUUCGGGUCGUAAACUCCUUUCGAUCGAGACGAAUGGCCCCUGGGCUAGUCACCAGGGGAGUGACGGUACCGAGAGAAGAAGCCCCGGCUAACUCCGUGCCAGCAGCCGCGGUAAUACGGGGGGGGCAAGCGUUGUUCGGAAUUACUGGGCGUAAAGGGCUCGUAGGUGGCCAACUAAGUCGGACGUGAAAUCCCUCGGCUUAACCGGGGAACUGCGUCCGAUACUGGAUGGCUGGAGUUUGGGAGAGGGAUGCGGAAUUCCAGGUGUAGCGGUGAAAUGCGUAGAUAUCUGGAGGAACACCGGUGGCGAAGGCGGCAUCCUGGACCAACACUGACGCUGAGGAGCGAAAGCCAGGGGAGCAAACGGGAUUAGAUACCCCGGUAGUCCUGGCCCUAAACGAUGAAUGCUUGCUGUGCGGGUAUCGAUCCCUGCCGUGCCGAAGCUAACGCAUUAAGCAUUCCGCCU